This 89-nucleotide ribosomal RNA is filed under the name Acinetobacter baumannii. Lineage: Bacteria; Pseudomonadati; Pseudomonadota; Gammaproteobacteria; Moraxellales; Moraxellaceae. The record is from RNAcentral. RNAcentral also lists the same sequence under 1 other name.
CCUGAUCCCUUCCCGAACUCAGAAGUGAAACCUCUUAGCGCUGAUGGUAGUGUGGGAUUACCCAUGUGAGAGUAAGUCAUCGCCAGCUC